GUCGGGGUAGCUCAAUGGUGGAGCAGGCGCUUCAUAAGCGCCCGGUUGUGGGUUCGACUCCCGCCCCCGACACAA
This 75-nucleotide transfer RNA is filed under the name Candidatus Taylorbacteria bacterium RIFCSPLOWO2_01_FULL_45_15b. RNAcentral describes it as "tRNA-Met". It matches the Rfam family "tRNA". From Rfam's summary of the family: Transfer RNA (tRNA) molecules are approximately 80 nucleotides in length. The record is from RNAcentral. Lineage: Bacteria; Candidatus Tayloriibacteriota.